This 267-nucleotide ribosomal RNA is filed under the name uncultured bacterium. RNAcentral describes it as "partial 16S ribosomal RNA". It matches the Rfam family "Bacterial small subunit ribosomal RNA", at positions 9 to 297 of the family's 1533-position model. The record is from RNAcentral.
GAGUUUGAACCUGGCUCAGGAUGAACGCUGGCGGCGUGCCUAAUACAUGCAAGUCGAGCGAACCACUUCGGUGGUGAGCGGCGAACGGGUGAGUAACACGUAGGUGAUCUGCCCAUCAGACGGGGACAACGAUUGGAAACGAUCGCUAAUACCGGAUAGGACGAAAGUUUAAAGGUGCUUCUGGCACCGCUGAUGGAUGAGCCUGCGGCGCAUUAGCUAGUUGGUAGGGUAAAGGCCUACACGCGACGAUGCGUAGCCGACCUGAGA